AUCAUGGAAUCAUUCAGCUUGGAAAAGACCUGCUGGAUCCCCAAGCCCAGCCACCAACCCACUCCCCCCACGUCCUCAGGUGCCACAACCACACCGAGCAACCUCUGUGUGAUCCGAGGAGGAGCCCAGGAGGGAAAUGAAACCUCCCUGCAACCUGCCUUGUUUCCACCCCGUCGAGCAUCAUCUCGAAAAGCUGAUUCAGUGUCUCCCACAACUCUGCUCUGGCCUCGGAUUCCUGUGACUCCCGUGACGUGGAUUUGAUGAGCUCAGAGGCCACUUCUCCCCUCGGACAUCCCUGAUCCUCUGACAUUUAAACAACAGGCAAAUCAUCCCACGGCUUCAGCCCCGGAGAGCUGGAGCUGGGCCAGUCACAAUAUUACCCUGCUCUUUCCACUGACGUGGGGAGGACGGGCUGUGCUCCUCCAAGGAGGGGCUGAGGGCUGAAAACUGGGCUGCAGCUUCAGGCAGAGGCUGCUUGAGCUCCAGCUUCUGGCUGGUGGUCACUAGAGGAGCACCAGCAGCACCAGCCACUUGCUCCCUGAUGCCCCAAAAUGCCACAGAUGUUGGAGACAGACUCCAGAGAUCCAGUUCCUCGUGGAAUGGGUGGUGAUUCAGCCACAGCUCACCCAGCUCUGAGCUAAACCUGGUCCCUGG
Lepidothrix coronata (blue-crowned manakin) is the source of this 654-nucleotide long non-coding RNA. RefSeq lists it as uncharacterized. NCBI's taxonomy places the organism in Eukaryota, Metazoa, Chordata, Aves, Passeriformes, Pipridae. The record is from RefSeq and is a predicted model, not a curated record. The transcript has 3 exons.